RNAcentral lists this unclassified non-coding RNA (1314 nucleotides) under Hevea brasiliensis (rubber tree). The record is from RNAcentral. Lineage: Eukaryota; Viridiplantae; Streptophyta; Magnoliopsida; Malpighiales; Euphorbiaceae.
UGAAUUUAGUAAUUUUUUCGGGUCUUCCCUGUUAAGUCCAGUUCAUAGGCAUUUGCCUAGAUUGUCAACAAACCAAAUCGUGCAAAUAGUCUGAUCACGUGUUGUUUCUAUGCUGUUGGUUUUUGUGCCCAGGAUAAAUAUUUUUCAUGAAAGAAUAAAUUAUUUUCUGUGGCUAGGUGGUUCUUAGCAUAAUACAAGGUCCCACCCUAGAGAAAGAGAAACAUUCAAAGCUCCAUUUGGAUGAGAAAAUUGAGUACUUUGUAAUUUCAUUAUGGCAUGAAUGAAGAUUCCAUCACUUUAUUUCUUCUUCUGUGAUUGUAUUCAAAAUUUAAUUUGAUAGAGAUAGAGGAAAGUUGGGGUUGACUAGAACUACUAUGGUGGCAAACACAUAGAAACAGAGAACCUGCAGUUGUGUGGCAAUUGGCUGCCAUAAUUGAACCAAGACACAAGAAUAGUAGUAUGGUGGCAGUGGUGGUGAUUCAACAUUGUUUAUGAUGGUUGUAGUGGUGGCAGGGCUGUUAGUGCUGCACUGAUAAUUCCAGUGGUUAUGUUGAUGAUGGUGAUGGUGCUGGUGCUGGUGUCAUGUUGCAAUAGUUAUGGUGAUAAUUUUGGUUGUGGUGCAACUCCGUGGAUUAAACAUUGAUAGAUUAAGCAGAAAUGUUUAGUGAGUGUAUGCUUGAUGCCUUAAGUUCAGAGAGAAGACACUUUUCUUAGGCAUGUCAAUUUUAAACAGACAAAUUAAGUAAUCCUCUCUUUAAAUGCCCUCAAAUUAAUAAUUGCUUUUAUGUAACAGGGGAGUUUAAGUUGGGAUUCCAAGAUUCCUUCAUCUCUCGUUUAGUUACUUGAUUCAAGUGCAACCAAAAUUUUACCUUUAGUAAAAUGAUUAACUGUACAUAACUUGAAAUUUCAGAGCAUGAAUGUGUACUCAGAAGGGCAAGAAGUAAAAACAACCUGGAAAGCAUGUACCAGAAGCAGCUAAUUAAUGAUUUCUGUCUUGUUCAUAGGGAACAUGUUCAAUCAUGAAAUAUUUUCAAGGCCAGUAUCCAUCCCACUCAUCUUCAAAGCAAACUCCAGAUAACUUCAUCCAAGAAUCUGCACCACUAUUGUCAUCAGGUGAUUUUGGCUUUGUUGAUUGGCAUUUGUGCAUGUCAUUUUUAAUUGUUGAUUUUCAGCUAUUUCCUAUCAUAAUUUAAUGAAGGCUUCAUGUCAGGUACUGAAAGCUAUUCAGAACUGAAAUCAGCUGAGCCACAAAGUGACUAUAAUUUUCCUUGUUUGGAUCUACAAGGACAGAAAAUCAGUGAAUCGAGAGAUAAA